Molecule: unclassified non-coding RNA, 988 nt
Filed under: Hevea brasiliensis (rubber tree)
Lineage: Eukaryota; Viridiplantae; Streptophyta; Magnoliopsida; Malpighiales; Euphorbiaceae
Source: RNAcentral
GAAAUUUACUAAUAUAUUUGGUGCAGAUCACCAGAACUCUUGAUGCAAGAAAAAUGUUUUCAAGACUUGCUGUAAACGAAGAGAAUAUCUAAUAUAGUAUAAUUUUAAAGCGUAUAAUUAUAGUGCACAAACUAAAUUUCUAUCAUCAGACUACUCUCCUCAAAAAUUCUUUCCUAGCUCAACUUUUUUCACCAUUCUCAUUGUGUUGUGCAGAAUCGAGUCCAGUAUGCCGGCAACCGUGAAAACACCACCAAUAAUAGCGCAGACAUUGGUAAGAAAAUGUGAAAAGGACUUGGGAUUUUCUGUAAUCAAGACCUGCAUUGGUGAUGGCUCAUAAUGAAAUUUCGCUACUGGUAUGUGAAGACUAUGAACCAAACUACUAUGUGCCGUGUACUCGUACUCCUCAACUAAUUUGUACGAUCUUGUCAUCACCUCUGUUUUCACCACUUGAAGAAAAUGUUCAAUAGUAACAUUUUCUGUGGAAUCUCUUGGAUUAGUAACAUAUGAGUUACCAUUCAACCUAUCAUGGCUUCGACCCAAAUGUGGUAGCAGUAUUUUGAUAUCACUCAUAACCUUCGGAGUAAUUGUCUUACCAAAUGAAAAGCUAGAAAUUACAUGUGACAUGUUCAUCUGAGAAGCAUCAAAUGAAUGAGCAGCUGAACGAGCUGAUAUGACAAGGUUGCCAGGAACCUUCUUAACACGUACAAAACCUUCUAUUCUGCAUCCUCCAGUUACAGGAGCAGGUCUUUUCAAGCCAGUUUCCAGCUUGGUAGACGAAUUAUCUGAAGUAAUCGUUUGAGAAUCCAGCUUGAUAGGUGCAACCAAAUCUUCCAUCAUCUUGACUAAGCUAUCUGUAUCACGAUCCCCAUAGUAUGACUCGUGAUCAUGGUGUCCGUGAUCGUCUCUAACAUCAGUUCCUUUUCUGAAGAUGCGAAUGGAGGGAUACCCUUGUAUGUGAUUCCUUCUACACAAAUCAACUUCUUCAGUG